Molecule: non-coding RNA, 73 nt
Organism: Dichotomocladium elegans
Lineage: Eukaryota; Fungi; Mucoromycota; Mucoromycetes; Mucorales; Lichtheimiaceae
Source: the annotation of a GenBank genome assembly
GCCUUGCUAGCUCAAUCGGUAGAGCGUGAGACUCUUAAUCUCAAGGCUGUGGGUUCGACCCCCACGUAGGGCU